GCGUCGACGACAUUUCCUUUGAUUGGAACUCUCUUCAGGUUUGCUCAGUUUUUGUCUCUGUCUUCGCUUUUUUCAGUUUCUCCUCUAUUAUCUGUUUAUGGCUUCUCCUCAAUUUUCAUUUGUUUAUUUAUUUCAAGCUUUUUUAAUUGUGUGAUUCAUUUCUUAUUUUCCCCCUCUUUGUUUGUUCGGUGGGGUUUUAGCUUAGGAUGCAAUUUUGGGAAUUUUCGGGUGAAGGAGGUUUAAGUGACUAGUCCUAUAUAGAUCUGUGAAACUUGUCUUUGCUUUUUUGUAGUUGAACUAAGUGAGCGGUUAGAUUCUCUUGCAACCUUAAAAAACAUUGCUUGCUUCUUUUCUGUGACUGGUACUUUUGAUCAAGUACGUGUCUGCUUCUCUGUGUUAGUGUUCUUGCUCUAUAUAUUAACUUUUUUUUAUGCAUAAACUUCUUUUGUUUGGAUAUAAUGAGCGUGUUUGAUCACAUGGAGGAAGAUCUUUGUCACGGGUUUGUUUCUUUUUGGGUUGGUUUGUUAUCCCCCCCUCCCCCUCUUUUUGGGAGUAAAAAUCAAUGAGGAUUUUGCCUCCAACCCAGAUCUUUUACUACUCGUUGAUCUGGUUAUCUUGUUUUUGUUUAUUUAUUUUUCUGAGUUUUAUUCUAAUUAUUGUUAAAAUUAUUGGGUGUUACUGGUACAGUAAAUUUUAUUUUCCCUUCCCUUUUCUGGGUGAUUGUUCAUUACGUGUAUCUGUGUUUUUCUUUCUGUUUUGAGAGGAAAUUUUGCUUUUUAUAUUUUACUUCCUUAGCGUUUAUACUUUUUUUUUAAAUAAAAUAAUUUUUUUAGCAUCUAUAUCAGCAAAUUCCUUGCUUUUUUAUUUUUUGGCUUGCAAAAAUUAGACCAUUGUUAGAACUUAGAACUAAUUCAAAGGAAAAAUAAGUGAAGAAGGAAAGGUAGCCUGUGUGAGAGGAGAGUCUGGUUACCCUAUCUGUCUCUUUUUUGCCUACAAUCGAUGAACCUUAAAUUUUUUUUAAUGAGGUUCAGCUUUUUAAUUUCUUGGUUGUGGGUUUGAUUUUCUAAUUUAUCAUUUAUAUCACAAUCCCUUUGCUGGCUUUCCUGGUGGCUGAGGUCUUGAUUGAAGGGAAAAAAUAAAAAAAAGAAAGAAAAUUCUUUGAUUAAUUUUUAUGAUACAUAUUUAAUAAUUUUAUACCUUUGAUAUUUGUUGUGUAGUGUAUUUGGAAGGGUAGAAGGUUGGUGAUGGGGCCAUGGCAAUCCAUAUUUCCACACCCACCUUUUAUUCUUUUUGUUUAUUUGUUUUUUUCAGGCUUUUCUUUUCCUUCACUUCAACUACUGUUGUCGACACCUUUUGUUUUUCCACGAUUUUGAGUGUCCAUUUCUUGAAAAGAUCUUACUCGACCUUUUGCUACUCUUUCUCUGGUAUGUCUUACUUACCCAGAUUUUCUUUUCUUCUUCUUUAGUUUUGUUUUUUGGUCCCCUUGAUAUAAUUGAGUGGAUUUCUAAAUUUUACGUGUUCUUCACUUCAUUGUUGGACUCAGUAGUCUGAUUUUAGUAAGAGAUAUUGAGAAGAUCUGGGUGCUGUAAUGAUUAGUGAAGUAGUUUCAAUCUAUCUGAUUGGUCUGCAAUAUAAGGAAUUUAGUAUUGAAAUACAGUUUCUUGUUUGAUAUGCAAAAUUUUUCUUCUGGGUAUUGCAGUUCAAUUGCUCUUGAUGUGUUCUAUAUUUCAUUAUUUGAUAGAGCGAAUUUCUUCUGGAGUACCCUUUUGUUUUGUUUUGUUUUGUUUUUUGAGAGAGAGAGAAUUUCUCUUUUGUUGUUUGAGGGAAAAAGGUAGAAUUGGGAUUGGUGUAAGAGAAUGGAAUAGUCAAAGAUGGCUAUAUUUCACAAAUCGGUAGUUAGUUUCCAUUUUCAAUUGGUUGAAGUCUAAUUAUAUGCUGAUAUUAAAAUUUUCAGCUCUGCAAUUGAGUUGCUUCUGAUAGAAAUUGUAAUCUCUUUCCAAUUAUUUUAUUAUUUAUGAUUUGUGGUUCAUUUGGUUAAAAAUUUUAUUGCUCAGCAUCUGUUUGAUAGAUCAGAAAAGGAAAGAAAAAUUGCUUAACAAUAUAAUUUAUGCGCUUAUUAGUCUGUAAAAACAUUUUAGCUUUGGGAACUUGUGCAGAAUGCUAAUGUUGGUUGUAUUGAUAAUGCUAUCAGGUUCAUGAUAAAUUGGUUAAACUCAGCUGAUAUCAGGAAUGGGUUCUGGUGAUUGGUUUAAG
This 2253-nucleotide long non-coding RNA is filed under the name Manihot esculenta (cassava). Its description in RNAcentral is "long non-coding RNA (MESC_LNC007957)". The record is from RNAcentral. Lineage: Eukaryota; Viridiplantae; Streptophyta; Magnoliopsida; Malpighiales; Euphorbiaceae.